UACAGAGGGUGCUAGCGUUGUUCGGAAUCAUUGGGCGUAAAGCGCUUGUAGGCGGCCUGUCAAGUCGCGUGUGAAAUCCCCUGGCUUAACCAGGGAAGUGCGCGCGAAACUGGCGGGCUUGAGUGCCGGAGAGGGUCGCGGAAUUCCCGGUGUAGAGGUGAAAUUCGUAGAUAUCGGGAGGAACACCAGUGGCGAAGGCGGCGACCUGGACGGACACUGACGCUGAGACGCGAAAGCGUGGGGAGCAAACAGG
RNAcentral lists this ribosomal RNA (253 nucleotides) under uncultured bacterium. RNAcentral describes it as "partial 16S ribosomal RNA". It matches the Rfam family "Bacterial small subunit ribosomal RNA", at positions 524 to 776 of the family's 1533-position model. The record is from RNAcentral.